GCAUGGUCUUAGCUUGCUAAGACUGAUGGCGACCGGCGCACGGGUGAGUAACACGUAUCCAACCUGCCGUCUACUCUUGGACAGCCUUCUGAAAGGAAGAUUAAUACAAGAUGGCAUCAUGAGUCCACAUGUUCACAUGAUUAAAGGUAUUCCGGUAGACGAUGGGGAUGCGUUCCAUUAGAUAGUAGGCGGGGUAACGGCCCACCUAGUCUUCGAUGGAUAGGGGUUCUGAGAGGAAGGUCCCCCACAUUGGAACUGAGACACGGUCCAAACUCCUACGGGAGGCAGCAGUGAGGAAUAUUGGUCAAUGGGCGAGAGCCUGAACCAGCCAAGUAGCGUGAAGGAUGACUGCCCUAUGGGUUGUAAACUUCUUUUAUAAAGGAAUAAAGUCGGGUAUGCAUACCCGUUUGCAUGUACUUUAUGAAUAAGGAUCGGCUAACUCCGUGCCAGCAGCCGCGGUAAUACGGAGGAUCCGAGCGUUAUCCGGAUUUAUUGGGUUUAAAGGGAGCGUAGAUGGAUGUUUAAGUCAGUUGUGAAAGUUUGCGGCUCAACCGUAAAAUUGCAGUUGAUACUGGAUAUCUUGAGUGCAGUUGAGGCAGGCGGAAUUCGUGGUGUAGCGGUGAAAUGCUUAGAUAUCACGAAGAACUCCGAUUGCGAAGGCAGCCUGCUAAGCUGCAACUGACAUUGAGGCUCGAAAGUGUGGGUAUCAAACAGG
RNAcentral lists this ribosomal RNA (715 nucleotides) under uncultured Bacteroidales bacterium. RNAcentral's name for it is "bacterial SSU rRNA". It matches the Rfam family "Bacterial small subunit ribosomal RNA", at positions 69 to 776 of the family's 1533-position model. The record is from RNAcentral. Lineage: Bacteria; Pseudomonadati; Bacteroidota; Bacteroidia; Bacteroidales.